RNAcentral lists this ribosomal RNA (172 nucleotides) under uncultured Clostridium sp. RNAcentral's name for it is "partial 16S ribosomal RNA". It matches the Rfam family "Bacterial small subunit ribosomal RNA", at positions 335 to 524 of the family's 1533-position model. The record is from RNAcentral. Lineage: Bacteria; Bacillati; Bacillota; Clostridia; Eubacteriales; Clostridiaceae.
ACUCCUACGGGAGGCAGCAGUGGGGAAUAUUGCACAAUGGGGGAAACCCUGAUGCAGCAACGCCGCGUGGAGGAAGAAGGUUUUCGGAUUGUAAACUCCUGUCUUUUGGGACGAUAAUGACGGUACCAAAAGAGGAAGCCACGGCUAACUACGUGCCAGCAGCCGCGGUAAU